Long non-coding RNA from Eriocheir sinensis (Chinese mitten crab), 5951 nucleotides. RefSeq lists it as uncharacterized. The record is from RefSeq and is a predicted model, not a curated record. The transcript has 3 exons. Lineage: Eukaryota; Metazoa; Arthropoda; Malacostraca; Decapoda; Varunidae.
GGAAGGUGAGAUGAGGGAAUGAGCAGUGAAAGGCAGACAGGUAGUAGGUGCAUUGGGGAGAGUUAUGAAAGGAAGAAGUGUGCGGUAAAGAGGGGAAUAAGGAACUGCCAACUCUUGUCAUAUGCAUCAGGGAUGUGGACAUGGAAUGCAGCACAGCAAUCAUGAAUAUGUGCAGUGGAGAUGAGUUGUAUAAGAGGUGCAUGUGGUGUUUCAGGAUGGGACAGAAAGUAAUGAAAGUGUGUAUGAGAGGUAUGGUAUGAGUGUGACAGCAAAAGGAAUGGAUUGUGGAGUGGUGGAGUGGGUGAAGCGUGGUGCGCUGAGAUGGUUUGGACACGUGAUGAGAAUGGGGGAGAAUGAAUAUAUGAAGAGUGUGUAUGAGGGAAAGAUUGAGGUAGGGGGUGUCUGGGGAAGACCACCAGUGAAGUGUAUCAAUAGGGUGAGUGAGUAUUGGAGUGAGAGAGUUGGAAGUAGCAGGAUUGAGUGUGCUGAGAGGGAGUGCCAGAACAGGGAGAGAUGGAGACACUUCUGCCGCAGCCACCCCCUGGAGGAAAGUUCCCGUGAGGGAGCAGGGCGUCGGAGAUAUAGAUAGAUAAAUAUAAAAGGUAGUGGCUGAGUGGUCAGUGUGCAGACAUGGUGUCCUGGGGACCUGGGUUCAAGUCCCACCCUCCACUACACACUGAUAAUUCUCAUUCACGCUGCCCUGAUGACUACUUAUCAACCCAGGCUCUAGAGAAACUGAAGAGGAGAAAGUGGGGCUUGGAUGGCUAGCAUGAGCCAAGCAAGAUGGGGCCACUAUAAAAGCACUUUCCUGUGCCAGUAACGGGCCAACCAGCUGGCCCAAUCAAGAAAGCCUACUGGUGCAAUAGGCCAGACAUUGAAAAAAGAAGCUUCUUUGGAAAUAUUGUGAGGAAGCUGUUGUGUGGGAUGCCAUCCCAUUAUCUCAAUGGACUCUUCCCUCUUCCUGCUGGAGUUUGUGUGCCUAAGGGGUACAUUGAAUGCAUGGAUACAUGUAUCCAUGCCUGCAAGACUUGACUCACUCUCCCGCUGUUCCUGACUGGGCACGCUGCUGAGUUAUAGCCACAUCUCAUGGUUUACACUUAGCAUGGUGUGCCUGCACUUGUUUGAACACAUACCCGCCCCACACCUUCUCGCUAUCUGCCUUCCCACUCUUCAGUCUUGCAUAUGUCCUUUGGCUAUGCACUCGUUCAUGACCUAGCAUCAUAUAUCUGAGCUUUACUUUUCACUUGUAAGUGUUUUAUGAUUACAUCAUGCUUCAGCAUUUCAGCUGUCACUACACAGCACCUUAUUUUUAAAAAGUUUGAAUUUAUAUGUAUGUUAGGGUAGAGGCAUUGCACAACUCAGAAUAUUGAAUAAUUUAGAAGAGGUUUGAGCUCCUAUCUUGCAAAGUUAUGCUGUAAAACUUUUACUGUACAAUUAAAGAGACAUUAUUCAGCCAUUCUACUACUCAUUUGCACUCAUAUUUUACAACUGGAUUCUCCCUCUACCUUUUAAAAAAUUGGUUUCCAUGGAAAUUACAUUUGCGAGUAAAGAGAUGUAAGGGAAAGUACGUAGUACAAAAAAAAAAUUGCAGAUCUACAUUGUUACAGCAUAAUUACAUUGCACAUUUAAUGUUAUUAUUAGAUGUUAUAAUCAGCUCUGUGAUAAGGAGUUAAGAACUACCUCUGAGACUGCAGUUACUGUUGCUCUGGGGAAAGGGAGCAUGCCUUGCAGAUAUCGACAGUGAAAGACUAUAGGUAUACAGGAUAUAUAGUAUGGAUAUGAGAGUAGAAAAUAUAGAGUGCAAAGGGGUAAAAUGGGUAAAACAUUACCAUCAAAGUGAUCUGAGCAUGUGAGAAUGCAGGAUGUUGAUUUUGUGAAGAGUGUGUAUAAAUGUCAGGUAAGAAAAAUGGGGGUUGGAAGGGACACAUGAUAAACAUAUAGUUGGAAAGGAUGGUGAGAAUGUUGCAAGAAGGGACUUUGCUGCAUUGGCAAGUUCCAGGAGGGAACAAGGCAUCAUAGCAGUAAAUUGUGAAAUUUUUGCUUAUCUCUGAGGUGGCCCUACACAUCAUCUUUGGACAAGGAUGUGGUUGCUGGCAAACACAUGAGCUGACUCUCUUAGUAGGUUUCUUUUUCUUUUUCUUUUUAUUCUUGUUUGUCUAUCUUUGUUUUUCUUCUUCCUCUUCUUUUUCUUCUUCCUCUUCUUUGCCUUCCCAUCUAGCAGUGUGUGGGUUUUCAAUGCAUGUGUUGCUAAAGUUUGCGUACUAAUAUUUUCUUACAUUUAUGUGUUUUAUUUGUGAUAUUCCAACUGAUGAGGAAACUCCAUCUUAAAAGGCAAGGGUGCUGGAUGUUUCAGAUAAAACUUCUUAAUGAAAUGCGAGGUUGUGCUCUCAUGGAAAGAAGAAAAAUUGUUACAAGCUAAUUAACCAAAGAAUUUUUGCAUAUUUGGCAGUAUAAUGUUACAAAUUUGAUACAGACAGUUUUUUAGAUUUUAAAAAUUGUUUAUGUGACUGUGCAUGAUUGUUUUAUUUGACAUGAUGUUAGUGUGAAUUGCCAAAGUUAAUCUUCAGUAUGUAUAUAUUUUUCCUGUUCUGUUCUAUGUUAAUUAUACUUUGGACCAGGUACAUAUCCACAUCUAUCACAGCUGCCUCCUAAUGAAAGGGAGUUGGUGUACCUUAAUUGGGGAUCAUUUAAAAAUGAAUGUGGUAUUGAUAAAAUAGGGACUCUUGUUUAACGUUUGAAGGGUGUAUAUGCCUUGUAUCUAAUUCUACAUUCAUUGUAGGUCAACUCUAAUUGUAUUCCUCCUCAAUAUUUUCUGUUAUCCAUGUCCUGCUUUCCAGUACACCCUUACUUUACCCUGCAGAAAGCUUUGUAAAUCGAGUUCUCGGUAGAAGGAUGAUAUUGAGACUUUUCACCCUUAUUGAUAUCCCAAAGUAAAGAUUAUAUAUGAGUAAGGUUUAAAUAGUGAGCUUCUAGGAAGCAGGGUAUAAUAGGUGAAUUCAAGGUAAUCAUUGAAAAUAAUAGAUAUCCAUCAGAGUUAAGUUAUGGCAAGUUUUUUUGUACUUUACCUUGAGAGCAUAAGGCAAAGUAAAAACAAAAAGAUAGUAUGUUAGUAACCUCAAAAGUUUUAUGCUUCUAAUCAACAGGCAUUGUUUUCUUUUCAAUUCCUAUCAAUUUUUGUUUAUAUGCCAGCCCGUACUGUACAGUGAGCUCAGUAUUGUUACUGUGACAUCACUUCCUGUGUUUUCAACUGUGCCAGACACAUUAUCUUUAGUCGUGAAUCAGGCCGUCCAGGUGCUGUCCUAUGCACCUCCUCCCUAAACACACUUGCACACUGUGUGCUCUGUUAAGAUGGAAAAUGCAGGAAACAUUGGUUCUCGACGCCGUGAGGGCAAAAAGUAUGCAGUGGAAGAUGAGGCCUUGGAUAGGAUCGCAAAAGAGAAAGAAAAACGUUGUCUCCUCCCUACUGCGCAUGCGUGGCCCAGUGUUGUAUGAAAAAAACUUCGGGGUAUGAAAUAUCUUCGGUGAAGAGAUUCUGAUUCUGAUUCAGCCUUCCACCAACUCUUAAUUACGGUUAAAAAGCUUUGUGAGACUGUACAGUUCUACGCUUGCUGGACUGAGCAUGCGCAGUUCACGAGAGACCAGUGUUUGUAAACAAAAGCGACAGCUUUUGACGGUGGGGAAGCCAAAUAACACAACACUGGUUCAGGUGUUUCUAGUAUAUUACCUUCCAUAUGUACGUGUCAACGUGUGGUUUUCAAGUUUUGUAAGUUUUCUAAAAUACAGAUAAUGAAAAUUUGAAUUCAUCUAUGUUUUUCUAUCUGAAAUAUCAAUAUAGUAUCGUUUUCGUCUAUCGGAGUUAUCGCUAGCUAGUAUCGGAAUUGUGGAUUUAUAUCGGGUAUUGGUUAUCAGUUAUCGCCUAUAUUUGUGUCUCCAGUUAACGAAUAUCGGUUAUCACCAAUAAGGUUUUUCAUUAGCAGUUAUCGGUUAUCGGGAAUAAGGUUUUCUGUUUUCGUGCCCAGCUAUGGUAAAAUGCCACUCAUUUGUAAAUAUCACUGAUUGGACAGCCGACUGAGGCAGCCUCUUUCCCCACACAUCAUGGAACCAGACCUCACCACACUCCAAGGUUUACUUUUAUGCUCUGUAGCCCACUCAUUUCACCUAAUAUAUACUUACUUGGCUAUAGAAAGAUUGCAGAUUAUAACUGUCAUAAAAACAACUUAAUUUUACAAAAAAUAAAGGAAAUAAUACGAGUUUAAGUCAAAGACGGGGUUAAAAAUGUUUACAUAGUUUUUUCAUGCCAAUUUUUGGCAUAGAAUUAUUAAACUACCAUAAAAACAAAUAAUGUCAUCUGAUAAAGAAAAUUCUCCUGAAGACGAUAGUGUCAACAGAUUAUCGAUAAGUUAGAAAGGAAAGGAGAUAAGCAAGUUUAUAUACAAACGUAAUAAAUUGUAAUACGGGUUGAGAAUCAUUUAUCCGUAAUUCCAAAAUCCAAAAACAUCCAAACUCUGAAUUCUUUUUAAAUGCUGACUUUUUUUUAUUUAUUUAUUUUUGUUCCGCCUCCUCACGGGUGGGGAAAAGGGGUAUACGAAGGCCGUCAGGGUCAAAUGCGUGCGUCCCUCAGGAAGGCCACAAAUCCUUGCCGGGUGACGGCUCAUGAAGGGGAAAGGAAGAUGCCGAUAGACUGACUUUUAUCGGCUGACGUCAGCCUAGCCGACCAAGUCGGUCUGUCAACGUGGACUGCCAUGUCUCUUUGUACAAGUCGCAGAUGUGAUCGUGGGUUCCCUUUGUUCACCACAAGAUGAGAGUGCUCAAAGUAGAAAACAUUGGGAAUAGAGUCUCAGUUAGGGUUGGCACCUUGAGCUAAAAUAAUAAGGAACUCAGCAUCCCAUUCUCCAAUACAGAAUGAAUCCAUAUUUUUAAGGAACGGGUGGCAACCCUGAAAUUUCUCUAGCCUGCCAUGACUGACAGCCACUGCCCACUGUUGGUGGAGGCAGGAGGAAGGGGGGAGGGACAUUACAACGCAUAUUUUAUACGUAUUUCAGGACGACCCUUGACAAACACAAAUUUAUGGACAUGUUUUGUGGUUCACCGAAAAAUGCACUCACUACGGUUUUAAGAUACUGAAUUUAUCCACUUAACCAGCCAAAUACGGAACAGAUGGCGUACGAGUUAGGUUUGGUUAGUUUAAAUUUAUUCGGCACAUAGUUUGGGGCGGCGGAAAUACAUAACGCAGCGCAGGACGGGACAUAGUGGUGGCGGUCCAUUAUAUGCAGGUCAGUGUUGCGAGAAAUACCUCCUCGCAGAAUCAAGUCACUCUGCUGUUCAGUACACUUGCAUACUGGGGGAAUACACUGCAAGAAAAACAUAAAUUUGCCUGGUUUUGUUCUAUUUUGUCCACUUGUGAUCUUUGUGAGCAGUGAGUGAAAUAUAGAAACAGUACGUAAGCAAGUUGAACCUCUCUGCGAGCUAUUUUGCAGCUGCGGGUGCACAACAGGCAAUUGAAAAGUCAAUCAUUUAGUGAUUUUCGGAGAAAAAAUACCUUCUCCAUAAUAAACAGCAUCAUAUUUUGUCCAGAAAUAAGCAGUCAGCAUCUCAAAAGUAGUAGGCUACCCUCUCAGAAAUAAUCCCCUAUUUCAAUUUUCAUUUUAUUUAGAUUCAAAUAAAAAUAUUCCGAAAUCUGCAACACCUUUGGUCUCAGGGAUUUCAGAUAAGGGAUUCUCAACCUAUAUUGGGCUAUCUGUGACUUUGUUUUGAAGCUGCUCAUCCUUUGCCUACAAUUUUGUAUACGUAAAAGCUUGCUUACCUCCCUUCCUUUCUAAUAUAUCGAUAAUCUGUUGACACUACAAGUUGAGAAUCCUUUAUUGGAAAUUCCAGAAUCCAAAAGUUUUUUUAAUGUGACAUGACACGUCACAAAUUGAAAAUUCCAUAAAGUGAUGGGAAGGUUCCACCAC